CCUACGGGAGGCAGCAGUGGGGAAUAUUGGGCAAUGGGCGCAAGCCUGACCCAGCAACGCCGCGUGAAGGAAGAAGGCUUUCGGGUUGUAAACUUCUUUUGUCAGGGACGAAGCAAGUGACGGUACCUGACGAAUGAGCCACGGCUAACUACGUGCCAGCAGCCGCGGUAAUACGUAGGUGGCAAGCGUUAUCCGGAUUUACUGGGGGUAAAGGUCGUGUAGGAGGGGAAGCAAGUCAGAUGUGAAAACCACGGGCUCAACCUGUGGCCUGCAUUUGAAACUGGUUUUCUUGAGGGCUGGAGAGGCAAUCGGAAUUCCGUGUGUAGCGGUGAAAUGCGUAGAUAUACGGAGGAACACCAGUGGCGAAGGCGGAUUGCUGGACAGUAACUGACGCUGAGGCGCGAAAGCGUGGGGAGCAAACAGGAUUAGAUACCCCAGUAGUC
RNAcentral lists this ribosomal RNA (443 nucleotides) under uncultured bacterium. Its description in RNAcentral is "partial 16S ribosomal RNA". It matches the Rfam family "Bacterial small subunit ribosomal RNA", at positions 338 to 795 of the family's 1533-position model. The record is from RNAcentral.